ACCAACGAUUACGAGGUGAAGAUGCGCAACGUGGUCAAGUUCCUCGAAAACGGCGACAAGGUGAAGGUCACGCUGCGCUUCCGCGGCCGCGAAAUGGCGCACCAGGAUCUGGGUCGCCAGCUGCUGGAGCGGGUGGUCGAAGAUACCAAGGAAAUCGGCAAGGUAGAGAACUUCCCCAAGAUGGAAGGCCGCCAGAUGGUCAUGAUGAUCGGCCCGAUGGGUCGCUGAUCCGCCGCAUCCGCCGGAAACGAACAGGGGCAUCCAAUCGGAUGCCCCUUUGCUUUUGGGCGGCCCGAAACCGCCCUGGAUGUCAGACGGC
RNAcentral lists this unclassified non-coding RNA (319 nucleotides) under Jannaschia pohangensis. Its description in RNAcentral is "Long range pseudoknot". The record is from RNAcentral. Lineage: Bacteria; Pseudomonadati; Pseudomonadota; Alphaproteobacteria; Rhodobacterales; Roseobacteraceae.